Long non-coding RNA from Asterias rubens (European starfish), 1623 nucleotides. RefSeq lists it as uncharacterized. The record is from RefSeq and is a predicted model, not a curated record. The transcript has 5 exons. Lineage: Eukaryota; Metazoa; Echinodermata; Asteroidea; Forcipulatida; Asteriidae.
GUAACUACAUUGAGAAAUUCAAAUGGAAAUACUUUGAAGUUUUGAAGGGAGGCGGGUUUCUAAAAAGUUUUCAACUUUAGAGGCCGUUUUCUCUGAUUGCUAUUUUUUGCUGGUAUAGCAGCGAGUGCUACUUCGUGAAACUGCUGACGAUUUCUUUCUUAAUUUUUUUUGCCAACCACAUUUUCAAUUUGAAGAAAUAAUAAAGUGAGUGAUAUAAAUUUCAUGUUGUAGUUUGUGUGUCUCGAAUAUUAAGGAGGUUGUAAAGUAUGUUAUUAUCAAGCAUUGUUAAAUAUAACCUUUUUUUAAUAGGAGGCGUGGUACAGUUCGUGUAGAGGAAGGCACUGCGCCACCGGGUUUUUAGAAGAGAGGCGAAGACAUGUUCGGAAGAGAGGCAAAAAGAAUGGUGCUACAGUUCUUGUAAAAGUUAACAUUGUCAACUGGCUUCACCGAAGAAAGACUAAGAAAUGUAUCCAGAAACGACACAACUCACAAAGAAAUAUUCACAUGGGACAUAGAUGUUCCAAGCAGCACUUAAAAGCUUCGGUAUAUGCUACUUCAUGGUGAAUCUCAGAGAUUUUCUGGAUAAUCGAAUGAGACGUGGUGUGUGACAAGAACCCUGCCAGCCAAGAGCUAAAGAUGAGAAUUUUUCAAGACCCUGAAGAAUUUCCACAAGUUGGACUCUCUAUCGAUAUGAUGCAGAUGAUGGAGUGCCAUAGAGACAACCAAAGCAGCUUUGAAGACCAGAAGCGUCUGUAAAACUCGCCAUGGCAAAGGCCAUAGUUCAGGAGUUUCCACUACUUCAAGAUGAAGACGGUGAUGGCCAUGUAAGUUGAUACUAUGUCUUAGUAAACAAAUUUUGAAGCAUAACUACACCCUAGAUUUAAAGUGUUUUAUUUAUCAUUAGGCAAACUUUAUUCAAAUAGACAAAUUCAAACUUCUUGACGCACUGUUCUUUGCGAAUGAAUACAACAUUUCUUUCUUAAAUUUUUUUUGCCAACCACAUUUUCAAUUUGAAGAAAUGAUAAAGUGGGUGAUAUAAACUUCAUGUUGUAGUUUGUGGGUCUCGAAUAUUAACCAGUUGUAAAGUAUAUUAUUAAGCAUUGUUAAAUAUAACUUUUUUUUUAAUAGGAGGCGUGGUACAGUUCAUGUAAGGGCAGGCACUGCGCCACAGGGUUUAUAGAGGAAAGGCUAAGAAAUUAGCACCUGUUCGAAGUUCUCAGCUCAAGAUGAUACAGUUAAAUUGAAAUUUAUAGACUUAGUAGUUUUAAAUAAAUGCUACACUUUAAUGUUUAAGAGGCCCUGGUGGGGAAAAAAACUUGAGCUUCAGAGUAUACACUCUGCAAAAUGAUGUAUUUUUUAUUGUAUUGUAUUUAUGUUAAGAUUGUACAAAAUUACAAACAUUUCAGGUAGUCAGGGACAUCUUAACGGCUGAUGGUUGUGAACAAAUUAUGCAAGAAAUGGAUAAUGGCGAAAUUAGCCGAAAGUCAAGAAUUAAAGUUGUUAGAAUACUAGUGUCCUACUUAAUGGAACACCAUGGCGAAAGAACAUGCAGUUGUUGAAGAGAGCUUUUUGCUUCUUGAUAUGUGCUACGAGUCGCCGAAGGAGUUUAUGUCCCUGGAUAAA